UUCCAGCUCCAAUAGCGUAUAUUAAAGUUGUUGCGGUUAAAAAGCUCGUAGUCGAAUCUGUGUCCCGCGCCGCCGGUUCAUCGUCCGCGGUGUUAACUGGCGUGUCGCGGGACGUCCUGCCGGUGGGCUAAGCUCGCGAGGGCGGCGCCCAACUCAAUCCCGCCGCGGUGCUCUUCACUGAGUGUCGAGGUGGGCCGGCACGUUUACUUUGAACAAAUUAGAGUGCUUAAAGCAGGCUAAAACUUCGCCUGAAUACUGUGUGCAUGGAAUAAUGGAAUAGGACCUCGGUUCUAUUUUGUUGGUUUUCGGAACCCCGAGGUAAUGAUUAAUAGGAACGGAUGG
Molecule: ribosomal RNA, 342 nt
Filed under: Cyrtonops asahinai
Lineage: Eukaryota; Metazoa; Arthropoda; Insecta; Coleoptera; Cerambycidae
Description: SSU rRNA
Rfam family: Eukaryotic small subunit ribosomal RNA
Source: RNAcentral